RNA transcript from Helianthus annuus (common sunflower), 958 nucleotides. RefSeq lists it as uncharacterized. The transcript has 6 exons. The record is from RefSeq and is a predicted model, not a curated record. Lineage: Eukaryota; Viridiplantae; Streptophyta; Magnoliopsida; Asterales; Asteraceae.
AAUUCAAAUCCCGCCUCUCUAAAUUGUUUUCCCUCUCAUACAAAAUUCAAAUCCCCCUCUCUAAAUUUCUUUCCCUCACACAUACGAAAUUAACUCCCUCACUCCUGUACCAUCACAAUCACAUUUACCAUCACAAAAUCAAAGAAAAGAACAUUGAAGGCGUGCCUAUUGAAAUGUAAACUGGAAUCAAGGGAAACAAUGAAGAUUUUCAAUUUAAGGAAGACGUGAUUACAGAAAUUAGGGUAUCGUUGUUAAGUAGGUAAGGCGGAGAAUCAACGAAGGUGAAGCAACUGAUGAUGAUGAAUUAGAUAGAAAAGCAUAUGAUGUAUGGGUUUCAGUCUUUCAGAAAUCAUGCUUCAACAAAUUAGGGUUCAGUUUAUCACUUUGCUCAAGCUUCUACAAAGAAGGUUAUGAGACGUGGGCUGGAUUAGGUUACUAUAGAAGGGCAAGAUUCUAUUUUUAGGGGUUUUUAUUUGCAGGUUGUCUUGACCUUGAAUUGUUAUAGCUGAGCGAGGUUUCAGUUUUGGCUACUAAAACAAAUUCUAAUCGUUCAAGUGUUUCACCAAUAGCUUAGGCUUUUUGAAACCCCUCCACUGUGGUUUGUCGCCGCCAUGGUUUGCUUCUAGCUUCUGGGAGUGGAAAAGGAACUUGCUUUACAUGCCCUUAUCAUUUUUUUGCAGGUCUUUUGUGACAGUUACUUAUCAUAUGGCGGGUAUCGUGUACCUUUCGCACAUAAAGAUCUUGCAUCAGGAUAAGUACUGUCUAUGGAUGGACACCAAUGAAGAAUGGUAUUUUGGAGAAUCUCAAAUCGAGAAUUUAGUGGUAGAUUUAAUGUUGGGUUUUAUUAAAAAGAUGUUUUGAUGUUGUAAGCAUUAGUUUGUGUAUCAUUAAGACUUUUGUAAUUCGAUAUAGUUGAACGGGUUGUUUAAUACUAGUUAACUUUUGUUGUGAGCAUGUC